Molecule: transfer RNA, 75 nt
Filed under: Anaerococcus octavius
Lineage: Bacteria; Bacillati; Bacillota; Tissierellia; Tissierellales; Peptoniphilaceae
Also listed under: 6 other names
Description: tRNA-Glu
Rfam family: tRNA
About the family: Transfer RNA (tRNA) molecules are approximately 80 nucleotides in length. Their secondary structure includes four short double-helical elements and three loops (D, anti-codon, and T loops). Further hydrogen bonds mediate the characteristic L-shaped molecular structure. tRNAs have two regions of fundamental functional importance: the anti-codon, which is responsible for specific mRNA codon recognition, and the 3' end, to which the tRNAs corresponding amino acid is attached (by aminoacyl-tRNA synthetases). tRNAs cope with the degeneracy of the genetic code in two manners: having more than one tRNA (with a specific anti-codon) for a particular amino acid; and 'wobble' base-pairing, i.e. permitting non-standard base-pairing at the 3rd anti-codon position.
Source: RNAcentral
GGCCCCAUGGUCAAGCGGUUAAGACAUCGCCCUCUCACGGCGGGUUCUCGGGUUCGAAUCCCGAUGGGGUCACCA